RNAcentral lists this long non-coding RNA (1001 nucleotides) under Capra hircus (goat). Its description in RNAcentral is "lncRNA (ENSCHIG00010011109.1)". The record is from RNAcentral. Lineage: Eukaryota; Metazoa; Chordata; Mammalia; Artiodactyla; Bovidae.
GAAUGAAAACUGACCUUUUCCAGUCCUGUGGCCACUGCUAAGUUUUUUAAUUUUUGGCUACAAUCAAGUAUAGGAUCAGGCAUACCUUAAUGUAAAUUUAGGGAGUAUUGGCAGUAUGCUGAUUAGUAGCCUCAGCUGCAGGAAAAAAGUGCUGGUUAGCAAGAGGUAGCUGCAAUUAACUUUCUACCACUUCUGUUAGCCAGGGUAGGAGAGAAUAAAGUUAAAGAAUGUCACCUUCCUUUAAUCAAGCUGCACUGCAAGUACAAAAACCUGCUCAAGUAUGCACGAAAGACCUUAAAACAAAAACAGACAGGAAAAAGGGUACAAAAAACAGCAUGUGAAUUUUGAACCUGAAUAUAACCCAAGAGUUAGUAUCAUACUCUCAGGAGACGGGCAAGUGGUUCAGUCUUGGGACAGAAUGUGAAGAGUGAGUGGCCUAGACAGCAUGAGAGAUCUCCAUAUUGAAAACUAGACAAUCUGGUCAUUAGCAGCCAGCCUUUGGGAAACUACAACAGACUAGCAGAAGGCAGACCUAAGGAAGGCUGGCCCAAACUUUAGAAACACAGUAGUAAAACUGAGUCUAGGAACUUCCGUGGUGGUCCAGUGGCCAAGACUCUGCUCCCAAUGCCGGGGACCCGGGGUUUGAUCCCUGGUCAAGGAACUAAGAGUUCGCAUGCCACAACUAAAAGAUCCUGUGUGCGGCAAUUAAGAUUUGUUGCAGUCAAAUAAAUGUAUAAAAUAAAUAAAAAUAAAUGUAUAUAUUUUAAAAUCUGAGUCUAUAUAAGUGAUACAAUCUCUAUAAAUGAUUCCCUGGUGGCUCAGAUGGUAAAGUAUCCGCCUGCAAUGCAGAAGACUGGGGUUUGAUUCCUGGGUCAGGAACAUCCCCUGGAGAAGGAAAUGNNNNNNNNNNNNNNNNNUCUUGCUUGGAGAAUCCCAUGGACAGAGGAAUCUGGCAGGCUACAGUCCACGGGGUCACAAACAGUUGGACACAGUUGAGCAAC